This 839-nucleotide ribosomal RNA is filed under the name Salmonella enterica subsp. enterica. RNAcentral describes it as "partial 23S ribosomal RNA". It matches the Rfam family "Bacterial large subunit ribosomal RNA", at positions 392 to 1230 of the family's 2925-position model. The record is from RNAcentral. Lineage: Bacteria; Pseudomonadati; Pseudomonadota; Gammaproteobacteria; Enterobacterales; Enterobacteriaceae.
AUGUGCUGUGAGCUCGAUGAGUAGGGCGGGACACGUGGUAUCCUGUCUGAAUAUGGGGGGACCAUCCUCCAAGGCUAAAUACUCCUGACUGACCGAUAGUGAACCAGUACCGUGAGGGAAAGGCGAAAAGAACCCCGGCGAGGGGAGUGAAAAAGAACCUGAAACCGUGUACGUACAAGCAGUGGGAGCACAGGUUUACCUGUGUGACUGCGUACCUUUUGUAUAAUGGGUCAGCGACUUAUAUUCUGUAGCAAGGUUAACCGAAUAGGGGAGCCGGAGGGAAACCGAGUCUUAACCGGGCGUUAAGUUGCAGGGUAUAGACCCGAAACCCGGUGAUCUAGCCAUGGGCAGGUUGAAGGUUGGGUAACACUAACUGGAGGACCGAACCGACUAAUGUUGAAAAAUUAGCGGAUGACCUGUGGCUGGGGGUGAAAGGCCAAUCAAACCGGGAGAUAGCUGGUUCUCCCCGAAAGCUAUUUAGGUAGCGCCUCGUGAAUUCAUCUCCGGGGGUAGAGCACUGUUUCGGCUAGGGGGCCAUCCCGGCUUACCAACCCGAUGCAAACUGCGAAUACCGGAGAAUGUUAUCACGGGAGACACACGGCGGGUGCUAACGUCCGUCGUGAAGAGGGAAACAACCCAGACCGCCAGCUAAGGUCCCAAAGUCAUGGUUAAGUGGGAAACGAUGUGGGAAGGCCCAGACAGCCAGGAUGUUGGCUUAGAAGCAGCCAUCAUUUAAAGAAAGCGUAAUAGCUCACUGGUCGAGUCGGCCUGCGCGGAAGAUGUAACGGGGCUAAACCAUGCACCGAAGCUGCGGCAGCGACACUGUGUGUUGUUGGGUA